RNAcentral lists this ribosomal RNA (424 nucleotides) under uncultured Blautia sp. RNAcentral describes it as "bacterial SSU rRNA". It matches the Rfam family "Bacterial small subunit ribosomal RNA", at positions 338 to 754 of the family's 1533-position model. The record is from RNAcentral. Lineage: Bacteria; Bacillati; Bacillota; Clostridia; Lachnospirales; Lachnospiraceae.
CCUACGGGCGGCAGCAGUGGGGAAUCUUCCGCAAUGGACGAAAGUCUGACGGAGCAACGCCGCGUGAGUGAUGAAGGAUUUCGGUCUGUAAAGCUCUGUUGUUUAUGACGAACGUGCAGUGUGUGAACAAUGCAUUGCAAUGACGGUAGUAAACGAGGAAGCCACGGCUAACUACGUGCCAGCAGCCGCGGUAAUACGUAGGCGGCAAGCGUUGUCCGGAAUUAUUGGGCGUAAAGGGAGCGCAGGCGGGAAACUAAGCGGAUCUUAAAAGUGCGGGGCUCAACCCCGUAUGGCGCUGGAAACUGUUAGGCUUGAGUGCAGGAGAGGAAAGGGGAAUUCCCAGUGUAGCGGUGAAAUGCGUAGAUAUUGGGAGGAACACCAGUGGCGAAGGCGCCUUUCUGGACUGUGUCUGACGCUGAGAUGC